This 1144-nucleotide long non-coding RNA is filed under the name Olea europaea subsp. europaea. Lineage: Eukaryota; Viridiplantae; Streptophyta; Magnoliopsida; Lamiales; Oleaceae. The record is from RNAcentral.
CUUAUAACAGAGUGAAAAUUUUUUGUUUCUUCAUCAACGGUUAGUGUGUUUAUAGAAUAAAAUUUCCUAGGUGGCAAUUUUGCACAUAUUUGAUGACUUCAUGCACAAUGUUUUCAGCCAGUUAACAUGACAUAAGACAUUUCAAGGAAUUCACAUGAAACCUAAUGUUUUGUUUUUUUUCACAUAACUGUAUUAAAGAGUUUUAGGGGCUAUGGGCAUAUCUCUUAUAGCUGACUAUAAGUAACAUGUUUUCUUAAAGUACAUUAUUGUGAUUCAAAACCAUUUUUUGAGUGUUUAAAUUUAGAUUUCCUGUAUAAUUUCAAAUUAUUAUAUCUACUCUAUAAAUGUCAUUCUUGAAUUGACACAACAAUAUAUAUAGCUUCUUAUUACUUACCAUGGUGCUUAUGCAUUUGCCUCCUUCAAGUCAGGCAAUGACACCAGUGCUCCAAGUAAUUGGCAAGGAGCAUGGUAGCAUAGUAGCUUGAUUGAUCACUUUGGUAAGCUAACUGUAUUUUGUUAUAUUCUGUAUUUUGGUCUUUUGUGCACAUUUUGACACCAUUAGUUGUCUGUUGGACCACAUCACAUCACUAAAUAUUCUGUUGAAAAUCCAAAGCCAAUUUAAUGAAGCUCUUGAUUAAAUUUAUAUGGAAUAUUAAUCAGUGAUAGUGUAUUUUAUAUACUUAUUCGGGGCCCUAAAAUAGCAAAAUUUGAUAGUUCUUUUGACAAAUUAUAUCCUAAAUUGUUGUAUUUUGUGUUUUAUAGGUAAACUCGAUAAAUGAAAAGGAGUUAAAGAAAAGAAGCAAAAUUGGAGAAAAAUAGCAAAAUCCAAAACAUGGGGAUUAAAUUGACCAUUUCGUAGAAGUUGGGGACUUGGAGAAAAAAUAAUUUAUUAAUUGGGCAGCCAUUGAAUCAAAUUCUUUAGUUAGUUGAACUCAAUAGGACAACAUGGCGGCCAGCUGGAAAUUUAAGAAUAAUUGGAAUUCUACUUCAAAGUGGGUUAUAUAUAUGGAGAGAGAUCUACACAAUUGGCCUUUUUUUCUAUUAUAUAUAUUCACAAAAAUUGGUGGGCUGAAUGUAGAGAUCAAUUCAACAGAAAACGAAGGUUGUUGGCUGAUUUUGAGAGAUAAUUGGGCUUUGUGUUGAG